Molecule: ribosomal RNA, 498 nt
Filed under: uncultured bacterium
Lineage: Bacteria
Description: partial 16S ribosomal RNA
Rfam family: Bacterial small subunit ribosomal RNA
Source: RNAcentral
GAUGAACGCUGGCGGCGUGCCUAAUACAUGCAAGUCGAGCGAACAGACGAGGAGCUUGCUCCUCUGACGUUAGCGGCGGACGGGUGAGUAACACGUGGAUAACCUACCUAUAAGACUGGGAUAACUUCGGGAAACCGGAGCUAAUACCGGAUAAUAUAUUGAACCGCAUGGUUCAAUAGUGAAAGACGGUUUUGCUGUCACUUAUAGAUGGAUCCGCGCCGCAUUAGCUAGUUGGUAAGGUAACGGCUUACCAAGGCAACGAUGCGUAGCCGACCUGAGAGGGGUGACGGGCACACUGGGAAUGGAGCCCGGGUCCAGCUCCAGAGGGGAGGAGCAAGAAGGGAAUCUCCCGAAAGGGGCGAAGGCCGAACGGAGAACCCCCGGGGGGGGGAUGAAGUUUUCCGGAUCUAAAAACUUGUUUAUUAGGGAAAAAAAAAUGUGUAAGUAAAUAUGCCCGUCUGGACGUUACCUAACAAGAAGCCCACGGCAAACUACGGG